UACGUAGGUGGCAAGCGUUGUCCGGAUUUACUGGGCGUAAAGAGCGCGCAGGCGGUCGUUCAAGUCGCGUGUGAAAGCCCCCGGCUCAACUGGGGAGGGUCACGCGAUACUGAUCGACUCGAAGGCAGGAGAGGGAAGUGGAAUUCCCGGUGUAGUGGUGAAAUGCGUAGAUAUCGGGAGGAACACCAGUGGCGAAGGCGGCGAUCUGGGCAGACACUGACGCUGAGGUGCGAAAGCGUGGGGAGCAAACAGG
This 253-nucleotide ribosomal RNA is filed under the name uncultured bacterium. RNAcentral describes it as "partial 16S ribosomal RNA". It matches the Rfam family "Bacterial small subunit ribosomal RNA", at positions 524 to 776 of the family's 1533-position model. The record is from RNAcentral.